RNAcentral lists this long non-coding RNA (435 nucleotides) under Physcomitrium patens. RNAcentral's name for it is "long non-coding RNA (PPAT_LNC010842)". Lineage: Eukaryota; Viridiplantae; Streptophyta; Bryopsida; Funariales; Funariaceae. The record is from RNAcentral.
AAGCAGUUUAUUGAUUUUUGACUAUUAGAAUAUAAACAACUGCAAGAAUAUACCAUAAAUCUAUACGGAUGUCCUUCGACUGCUCGCCGAAAUUCUUUUUGCUCCAGUCGCUAGGUUUCUAGACAUUACAGAGAAUCCCAAACAACCCAAACUGCUAAUCUUCGAUACCGCUUUAUACUCAUGAUCUUGUAUCCAUUGACUGUCUUGUUAGAUUAAGCCAAAAAAUUUUCAUUCACUCCGCAUACUCAAUCCUAUAGACACCCUUUUAAUCCUUCAAUCACAGACGUAACUUCAAUUUCACAAAGCAAUCAAGAGUAAUUACACCCACUUCAUUAAAACCUCGAUUCACCAGUACAAUACUGACUUCAGCAACGAUUGCCUCUGUCUUCCCAAAACCCUAUAAAAAAAAAAAAACCCCAAUUCUCUGUCUUUUUU